Molecule: ribosomal RNA, 287 nt
Filed under: uncultured bacterium
Lineage: Bacteria
Description: partial 16S ribosomal RNA
Rfam family: Bacterial small subunit ribosomal RNA
Source: RNAcentral
GUGGAUUAGAUACCCUGGUAGUCCAUGCCGUAAACGUUGGGCACUAGGUGUGGGUCUCAACCAACGAGAUCCGCGCCGUCGCUAACGCAUUAAGUGCCCCGCCUGGGGAGUACGGUCGCAAGACUAAAACUCAAAGGAAUUGACGGGGGCCCGCACAAGCAGCGGAGCGUGUUGCUUAAUUCGAUGCAACGCGAAGAACCUUACCUGGGUUUGACAUGUACCGAAAAGCUCUAGAGAUAGGGUGUCCUUCGGGGCGGUACACAGGUGGUGCAUGGUUGUCGCCAGCU